Non-coding RNA from Lasiosphaeria hispida, 91 nucleotides. The record is from the annotation of a GenBank genome assembly. Lineage: Eukaryota; Fungi; Ascomycota; Sordariomycetes; Sordariales; Lasiosphaeriaceae.
GGCAUGUAGUACAGUGGUAGUACAUCUAGGAUUGGUCGUACGGUUAGUACCUGGUCCUACAAGACUCUUGGUUCGAUUCCAAGACUUGCCA